RNAcentral lists this non-coding RNA (29 nucleotides) under Rattus norvegicus (Norway rat). The record is from RNAcentral. Lineage: Eukaryota; Metazoa; Chordata; Mammalia; Rodentia; Muridae.
UGGUCAGCUAUCAAGCUCUAACAAAGUGU